RNAcentral lists this ribosomal RNA (484 nucleotides) under uncultured bacterium. RNAcentral's name for it is "partial 16S ribosomal RNA". It matches the Rfam family "Bacterial small subunit ribosomal RNA", at positions 30 to 507 of the family's 1533-position model. The record is from RNAcentral.
AUUGAACGCUGGCGGCAGGCCUAACACAUGCAAGUCGAGCGGAUGAAGGGAGCUUGCUCCUGGAUUCAGCGGCGGACGGGUGAGUAAUGCCUAGGAAUCUGCCUGGUAGUGGGGGAUAACGUCCUGAAACGGGCGCUAAUACCGCAUACGUCCUGAGGGAGAAGGUGGGGGAUCUUCGGACCUCACGCUAUCAGAUGAGCCUAGGUCGGAUUAGCUAGUUGGUGGGGUAAAGGCCUACCAAGGCGACGAUCCGUAACUGGUCUGAGAGGAUGAUCAGUCACACUGGAACUGAGCCACGGUCCAGACUCCUACGGGAGGCAGCAGUGGGGAAUAUUGGACAAUGGGCGAAAGCCUGAUCCAGCCAUGCCGCGUGUGUGAAGAAGGUCUUCGGAUUGUAAAGCACUUUAAGUUGGGAGGAAGGGCAGUAAGUUAAUACCUUGCUGUUUUGACGUUACCAACAGAAUAAGCACCGGCUAACUUCGUG